GAUUGGUUUAGUUAAAUUUCAGUAAAAUGAUUGGUUAAGGAACAGCUAAGCAAAAUGCAGGUUUUACUAUAUAGUCUGCAGUCAGUCAGGAGUGGUGGGGGGAUGGGAA
This is a non-coding RNA of Chelonoidis abingdonii (Abingdon island giant tortoise), 109 nucleotides long. The record is from RefSeq and is a predicted model, not a curated record. Lineage: Eukaryota; Metazoa; Chordata; Testudines; Testudinidae.